UGCCGNGUAGCUCAGUUGGUUAGAGCACCACCUUGACAUGGUGGGGGUCGUUGGUUCGAGUCCAAUCGCGCCUACCA
RNAcentral lists this transfer RNA (77 nucleotides) under Pseudomonas viridiflava. RNAcentral describes it as "tRNA-Val". It matches the Rfam family "tRNA". Rfam says of the family: Transfer RNA (tRNA) molecules are approximately 80 nucleotides in length. Their secondary structure includes four short double-helical elements and three loops (D, anti-codon, and T loops). Further hydrogen bonds mediate the characteristic L-shaped molecular structure. tRNAs have two regions of fundamental functional importance: the anti-codon, which is responsible for specific mRNA codon recognition, and the 3' end, to which the tRNAs corresponding amino acid is attached (by aminoacyl-tRNA synthetases). tRNAs cope with the degeneracy of the genetic code in two manners: having more than one tRNA (with a specific anti-codon) for a particular amino acid; and 'wobble' base-pairing, i.e. permitting non-standard base-pairing at the 3rd anti-codon position. Lineage: Bacteria; Pseudomonadati; Pseudomonadota; Gammaproteobacteria; Pseudomonadales; Pseudomonadaceae. The record is from RNAcentral.